CAGAACGUCGUGAGACAGUUCGGUCCCUAUCCGCUGUGGGCGUUGGAAAUUUGAGUGGAGCUGUCCCUAGUACGAGAGGACCGGGAUGGACAUACCUCUGGUGUACCAGUUGUACUGCCAAGUGCAUCGCUGGGUAGCUAUGUAUGGACGGGAUAAGCGCUGAAAGCAUCUAAGUGCGAAGCCCCCCACAAGAAUAGAUUUCCUUCAGUUUAACUGAUAAGACCCGUGGGAGACUACCACGUUGAUAGGUCGGAGGUGUAAGUGCAGUAAUGCAUUUAGCUGACCGAUACUAAUAGGUCGAACGCUUGACCAAU
RNAcentral lists this ribosomal RNA (314 nucleotides) under Eubacteriales Family XIII. Incertae Sedis bacterium. RNAcentral's name for it is "partial 23S ribosomal RNA". It matches the Rfam family "Bacterial large subunit ribosomal RNA", at positions 2612 to 2925 of the family's 2925-position model. The record is from RNAcentral. Lineage: Bacteria; Bacillati; Bacillota; Clostridia; Peptostreptococcales; Anaerovoracaceae.